RNAcentral lists this ribosomal RNA (253 nucleotides) under uncultured bacterium. RNAcentral describes it as "partial 16S ribosomal RNA". It matches the Rfam family "Bacterial small subunit ribosomal RNA", at positions 524 to 776 of the family's 1533-position model. The record is from RNAcentral.
UACGGUGGGUGCAAGCGUUAUCCGGAUUCACUGGGUUUAAAGGGUGCGUAGGCGGCGCGGAAAGUUGGGUGUGAAAUCCCUCGGCUCAACCGAGGAACUGCGCCCAAAACUACCGUGCUCGAGGAAGAUAGAGGUGAGCGGAACUUACGGUGGAGCGGUGAAAUGCGUUGAUAUCGUAAGGAACACCCGUGGCGAAAGCGGCUCACUGGGUCUUUUCUGACGCUGAUGCACGAAAGCUAGGGGAGCAAACGGG